This 423-nucleotide ribosomal RNA is filed under the name Triticum aestivum (bread wheat). RNAcentral's name for it is "partial small subunit ribosomal RNA". Lineage: Eukaryota; Viridiplantae; Streptophyta; Magnoliopsida; Poales; Poaceae. The record is from RNAcentral.
AUGGCGCGACCGAACAGAGCAGGUACUAUGCUUGUCGUGGAUUGCUGCCUCACGUGUACCCGGAGCACAUCUUGGGUGUUUAGGGAGCUGUACAGGAACAACCUCAAUGGCGAGAUUGCAAAAGAAAUGGGCAAACUGAAGAAAUUGAUCGGUUUGGAUUUGUAUGCCAAUAAUCACCGGAAGAAUCCCCAAGUCACUUUCCAAGCUCAGCUCACUGAUAUUGAUGUCAGAAGCAAUAUCAUGGUGGCACACUUGGUGCGCCCGUGCCAUCAGUCUCAAGCAUUGGCUGUAGAAGUUCUCCACCAACCUGAAGUGUGUGUGCGUGCUGAUCGGUCUCAAGCGUUGGCUGUAGAAGUUCUCUCCCAACCCAUCCAUACAUGCCGCAGAUUACUUCAAUCUGAAAGCGUCAUGAUUGUUAUUUAG